This is a non-coding RNA of Bacillus infantis NRRL B-14911, 359 nucleotides long. It matches the Rfam family "transfer-messenger RNA". Rfam says of the family: Bacterial tmRNA, also known as 10Sa RNA or SsrA, is named for its dual tRNA and mRNA-like properties. Its role is to liberate the mRNA from a stalled ribosome. Lineage: Bacteria; Bacillati; Bacillota; Bacilli; Caryophanales; Bacillaceae. The record is from Rfam.
GGGGACGUUACGGAUUCGACAGGGAUAGUUCGAGCUUAGGUUGCGAGUCGAGGGGAUCGGCCUCGUUAAAACGUCAAAGCCUAUAACUGGCAAACAACAAAACAACUUCGCUCUAGCUGCCUAAUAGCGCUAAGCGGUUCCUCCCUCCAUCGUCCAUGUGGUAGGGUAAGGGACUCACUCUAAGUGGACUACGCCGGAUUCCACCGUCUGAGGAUGAAGGAAGAGAACAACCAGACUAGCUGCACGGACGCCUGUCAGCAGGCAUAAGAUGCAGCGAAACGCAAAUAUGCUGACUACACUCGUAGAAGCUUAAGUGGCGAUGUUUCUGGACGUGGGUUCGACUCCCACCGUCUCCACCA